Molecule: ribosomal RNA, 446 nt
Filed under: uncultured bacterium
Lineage: Bacteria
Description: partial 16S ribosomal RNA
Rfam family: Bacterial small subunit ribosomal RNA
Source: RNAcentral
CCUACGGGGGGCAGCAGUCGAGAAUCAUUCACAAUGGGGGAAACCCUGAUGGUGCGACGCCGCGUGGGGGAAUGAAGGUCUUCGGAUUGUAAACCCCUGUCAUGUGGGAGCAAAUUAAAAAGAUAGUACCACAAGAGGAAGAGACGGCUAACUCGGUGCCAGCAGCCGCGGUAAUACAGAGGUCUCAAGCGUUGUUCGGAGUCACUGGGCGUAAAGCGUGCGUAGGCUGUUUCGUAAGUCGUGUGUGAAAGGCGCGGGCUCAACCCGCGGACGGCACAUGAUACUGCGAGACUAGAGUAAGGGAGGGGGAACCGGAAGUCUCGGUGUAGCAGUGAAAUGCGUAGAUAUCGAGAGGAACACUCGUGGCGAAGGCGGGUUCCUGGACAUUAACUGACGCUGAGGCACGAAGGCCAGGGGAGCGAAAGGGAUUAGAUACCCCUGUAGUC